RNAcentral lists this unclassified non-coding RNA (365 nucleotides) under uncultured fungus. RNAcentral's name for it is "partial contains small subunit ribosomal RNA, internal transcribed spacer 1, and 5.8S ribosomal RNA". The stretch from base 1 to 73 matches the Rfam family "Eukaryotic small subunit ribosomal RNA", at positions 1759 to 1831 of the family's 1831-position model. Lineage: Eukaryota; Fungi. The record is from RNAcentral.
UCAAACUUGGUCAUUUAGAGGAAGUAAAAGUCGUAACAAGGUCAUCGUAGGUGAACCUGCGGUGGGAUCAUCAAUAGAACCAAAAUCCGGCGACGCAGGGGUCUCCCCCUGCACAAUCGCCACAUUUUGUGAACUUUCGCGGCCUUGCUGGCCCGGUGCGCUGUGCUUCUUCGGAGGUGCGGCGUCCGGGAUGGCAAGCUGCAACUUUGUGUUGCUGCCGGUCUCUGUGCUGGCGGCAAUUUUCAAACAAACUCAACUUUUUUAUACAACGUCAAUUGCUGAAACCUGACCAUUUGCUUGGUCGAAUAGUUAACACAACUAUCAAUGGUGGAUCACUUGGCUCUUGCAUCGAUGAAGAACGCAGC